RNAcentral lists this ribosomal RNA (434 nucleotides) under uncultured bacterium. RNAcentral's name for it is "partial 16S ribosomal RNA". It matches the Rfam family "Bacterial small subunit ribosomal RNA", at positions 29 to 507 of the family's 1533-position model. The record is from RNAcentral.
AGCGAACGCUGGCGGCAGGCCUAACACAUGCAAGUCUAACGAACCUUUCGGGGGUAGUGGCGGACGGGUGAGUAACACGUGGGAACGUGCCUUUAGGUUCGGAAUAACUCAGGGAAACUUGUGCUAAUACCGAAUGUGCCCUUCGGGGGAAAGAUUUAUCGCCUUUAGAGCGGCCCGCGUCUGAUUAGCUAGUUGGUUGAGGUAAUGGCUCACCAAGGCGACGAUCAGUAGCUGGUCUGAGAGGAUGAUCAGCCACAUUGGGACUGAGACGCGGCCCAAACUCCUACGGGAAGCAGCAGUGGGGAAUCUUGCGCAAUGGGCGAAAGCCUGACGCAGCCAUGCCGCGAGAAUGAUGAAGGUCUUAGGAUUGUAAAAUUCUUUCACCGGGGACGAUAAUGACGGUACCCGGAGAAGAAGCCCCGGCUAACUUCGUG